RNAcentral lists this ribosomal RNA (460 nucleotides) under uncultured bacterium. RNAcentral's name for it is "bacterial SSU rRNA". It matches the Rfam family "Bacterial small subunit ribosomal RNA", at positions 342 to 793 of the family's 1533-position model. The record is from RNAcentral.
GGGGAGGCAGCAGUGGGGAAUAUUGCACAAUGGGGGAAACCCUGAUGCAGCCAUGCCGCGUGUGUGAAGAAGGCCUUCGGGUUGUAAAGCACUUUCAGUAGGAGGAAGGUAGUGUAGUUAACACCUGCAUUAUUUGACGUUACCUACAGAAGAAGCACCGGCUAACUCCGUGCCAGCAGCCGCGGUAAUACGGAGGGUGCGAGCGUUAAUCGGAAUUACUGGGCGUAAAGCGCAUGCAGGCGGCCUGUUAAGUCAGAUGUGAAAGCCCGGGGCUUAACCUCGGAAUUGCAUUUGAAACUGGCAGGCUAGAGUCUUGUAGAGGGGGGUAGGAAUUUCAGGUGUAGCGGUGAAAUGCGUAGAGAUCUGAAGGAAUACCAGUGGCGAAGGCGGCCCCCUGGACAAAGACUGACGCUCAGAUGCGAAAGCGUGGGGAGCAAACAGGAUUAGAUACCCCUGGUAG